RNAcentral lists this ribosomal RNA (855 nucleotides) under uncultured bacterium. RNAcentral's name for it is "bacterial SSU rRNA". It matches the Rfam family "Bacterial small subunit ribosomal RNA", at positions 1 to 825 of the family's 1533-position model. The record is from RNAcentral.
CGGAGAGUUUGAUCCUGGCUCAGGACGAACGCUGGCAGCGUGCCUAAUACAUGCAAGUCGAACGAACUCUGGUAUUGAUUGGUGCUUGCAUCAUGAUUUACAUUUGAGUGAGUGGCGAACUGGUGAGUAACACGUGGGAAACCUGCCCAGAAGCGGGGGAUAACACCUGGAAACAGAUGCUAAUACCGCAUAACAACUUGGACCGCAUGGUCCGAGCUUGAAAGAUGGCUUUGGCUAUCACUUUUGGAUGGUCCCGCGGCGUAUUAGCUAGAUGGUGGGGUAACGGCUCACCAUGGCAAUGAUACGUAGCCGACCUGAGAGGGUAAUCGGCCACAUUGGGACUGAGACACGGCCCAAACUCCUACGGGAGGCAGCAGUAGGGAAUCUUCCACAAUGGACGAAAGUCUGAUGGAGCAACGCCGCGUGAGUGAAGAAGGGUUUCGGCUCGUAAAACUCUGUUGUUAAAGAAGAACAUAUCUGAGAGUAACUGUUCAGGUAUUGACGGUAUUUAACCAGAAAGCCACGGCUAACUACGUGCCAGCAGCCGCGGUAAUACGUAGGUGGCAAGCGUUGUCCGGAUUUAUUGGGCGUAAAGCGAGCGCAGGCGGUUUUUUAAGUCUGAUGUGAAAGCCUUCGGCUCAACCGAAGAAGUGCAUCGGAAACUGGGAAACUUGAGUGCAGAAGAGGACAGUGGAACUCCAUGUGUAGCGGUGAAAUGCGUAGAUAUAUGGAAGAACACCAGUGGCGAAGGCGGCUGUCUGGUCUGUAACUGACGCUGAGGCUCGAAAGUAUGGGUAGCAAACAGGAUUAGAUACCCUGGUAGUCCAUACCGUAAACGAUGAAUGCUAAGUGUUG